UACAGAGGUCCCAAGCGUUGUUCGGAUUCAUUGGGCGUAAAGGGUGCGUAGGUGGCGCCGUAAGUCGGGUGUGAAAUUUCGGAGCUCAACUCCGAAACUGCAUUUGAUACUGGCGUGCUUGAGGACUGGAGAGGAGACUGGAAUUCACGGUGUAGCAGUGAAAUGCGUAGAUAUCGUGAGGAAGACCAGUGGCGAAGGCGGGUCUCUGGACAGUUCCUGACACUGAGGCACGAAGGCCAGGGGAGCAAACGGG
Molecule: ribosomal RNA, 253 nt
Filed under: uncultured bacterium
Lineage: Bacteria
Description: partial 16S ribosomal RNA
Rfam family: Bacterial small subunit ribosomal RNA
Source: RNAcentral